UACGGGGGGAGCAAGCGUUGUUCGGAUUUACUGGGCGUAAAGGGCGCGUAGGCGGCCUCCGCAAGUCAAUUGUGAAAUCUCCGGGCUUAACUCGGAAAGGUCAACUGAUACUGCGGGGCUAGAGUGCGGAAGGGGCAACUGGAAUUCUCGGUGUAGCGGUGAAAUGCGUAGAUAUCGAGAGGAACACCUGCGGCGAAGGCGGGUUGCUGGGCCGACACUGACGCUGAUGCGCGAAAGCCAGGGGAGCGAACGGG
Molecule: ribosomal RNA, 254 nt
Filed under: uncultured bacterium
Lineage: Bacteria
Description: partial 16S ribosomal RNA
Rfam family: Bacterial small subunit ribosomal RNA
Source: RNAcentral